AACAAACAUACAAAAAUACAAAAGAAAAAGAAAGUAAACUUUUUCCCAAAAAUUCAAACUCAAAGGAAAGUUAGUACAAGCAAACACAAAAACCAUUAAGGAAGAAUAGAGAAGAACAAGCAAGAAAUCAAUUUCUCAGAAAAAGAGCAAAAACAAGAAUAUAAUAUAGCUAACAGCAAAACGGCGGGCGCAGUCAGUUGGAGAAGAAGAAGCAUAUUAAAUCAUCAUCAGUCACAAAAACAAUAACAACAGCAAGAGCAUACCCAUAAGAGUGCAACCAAAUCAUCAUCAGAAGCGUCGCUUUCAUAGCGUCAACGCAACUCACACACACACACAGACGCACACACAUACAUCCAUACACCAGCCAGCCACCAAAAUGGACGAGACACAACAUUUCUGUUUACGCUGGAACAAUUACCAAAGCAGCAUAACAUCGGCAUUUGAGAAUCUGCGCGACGAUGAGGAUUUUGUCGAUGUGACAUUGGCGUGUGAAGGGCGCAGCAUCAAAGCGCAUCGCGUCGUCUUGUCAGCGUGCAGUCCAUAUUUUCGAGAUUUACUAAAGAGCACACCUUGCAAACAUCCAGUGAUCCUCCUGCAGGACGUCAAUUUUCUCGAUUUACACUCGCUGGUGGAAUUUAUCUAUCAUGGCGAGGUAAAUGUUCAUCAAAAAUCUUUGCAGUCCUUCCUUAAAACGGCAGAGGUACUUCGAGUUUCCGGACUCACACAACAACAGGCCGAGGAAACACAUAGUCAAUUAGCUCAAAUACAAAAUCUGGCGAAUGCUGCCAAUGCCACACGUACACCACUCAAUUCGCUCCACAGUUCGCUGUUGGAUGAGCCGCCACUAUAUCCACGCAACAGCGGCUCACCACCACCACCGGCUCCACCCCAACAAAUCCCCUAUGCAUCCACACACAUCAACAGUCAGCUGUUCAAACGCAGCAUGGCUAUGCUCAGACGGGAGCGCAACAACAGCACACCAUCGGCGGAGGACUCGAAUAAUGCCAUGAAACGUAUACGUGGACCUGAUAACGGUUUGCCGUCGAGCAAUAAUAACAGCCCCGAAAUUAUACAUACACGUAGCGCAUCACCGCAAUUGACACCGGCCGAUUUCUCAACCAUCAAACAUAAUAACAACAAUACACCGCCAAUGAAGGAAGAGAAACGCAAUGGACCCACUGGCAAUAACGGUAAUACUGGCAAUGGCAAUAGCGAAACUGGUAAUGGUAACGGGAUCGCUAAUAGUGACAAAGUGGGCAGUGCUAGCCUAACCCCUUCUCCACUAGCUCGCACUGUUGACGAUGUGAAAUCGGAACCCAUGGAACUGGUCUGCUCGAAUAACAAUCCAACAGUGGUCGAUGAGCAUAGCAAUGAUUCGACUGGUGAGCAUGAGGCGAAUCGGUCUAGUAGCGGCGAUGGCGGCAAAGGUUCAUUGAGCUCGGGAAACGAUGAGGAAAAUGAUAACAAUAUGCCACCACAUCCUCCACCGCCAUAUCUGAUGUCACCGGCAGAGAGCAAACUUUUUUCACCGGCCACAUUCAAUUUUCCCAUGGGCGGUCUGGAUCCUGCAGCGUUAGCUGGUUUUAACUCACAACUGCAGUCUGCCGCCGAAAUAUCAGUUUCUCCACAAGGACAUUCACCUAAGAAACUCUUCUCAUGUCAUCUGUGUGGUAAGCUUCUCUGCUCGAAAGCCUCACUCAAACGUCACAUUGCCGAUAAGCAUGCCGUACGUCAAGAGGAAUAUCGCUGUAUCAUCUGUGAGCGGGUCUAUUGCUCGCGCAACUCCCUGAUGACACACAUUUACACAUACCACAAGUCACGGCCGGGCGAGAUGGAGAUGAAGGAUAUCAAAUUGUAUCAUCCAUUUAAUUCGUCAAUAUGAAACGCGAUGCGUAAUUUAUAUCAAAACUGUAAUAUGCCAUCGGUAACAAUCGCCGCUAUGCCAGCAAUUGCUGAAAGCCCAAUGCCGCCAAUAAUUGAUAAUAUUUAUAAUAAUAAACUGCAAGCUAAGUCAACAGCAACAACUACUAUAACAAGAAUGAAAGGCUCUCUCUCGGAAUUUGGUACGAGAGAGACCGGCUUAAAUGCUGUUCAAGAAAUGAGUCGAAUAUCGAAUGAGCGAUUUAAUUAUGGUGAAAUGCCGAAACAACAGCAACAACAACAACAGCAGCAGCAACAAAUUUACCAAUAUCAACGACAACAAUGCUACCUCUAUGCUGAUUACCAUCGCCCACAGCCUGCUGGCGAUGGUUCAGUUAAACACUUACAAAUGCAAGCGCAACAACAUACACACUCCGAAGGAACCCAACAUUCUCGCCAAGAAGAUGCAUUCCAUUUGCAGAAUCUCAUUAAACAACGACAAAUAAUGUCUUUAUAUGACUAUUACAUGUACCAACGUCACUCUCCAUCACCGACGAAGACAGCACUGACAACUACAAAAGAGCAACCCAUAAAUGCCAUGACAAAAACAUUUGAAAAAAACUUUAACUUAGACACGAACUGUGGUCGGGUGGCUUGAUUUAAACGACAAAUGACAUAACUAGAUUUAGAAUUAGAAUUACCACAAGUUAAUUAGAUAAAUAAUCAUUUUGAAAGCAAUGCCAUAAAUUAGUGAUAACUGUAAACUUUAGAACUUAGCGACACUUGCUUUUACAUAUAUGUACAUGCAAGUCUCCAACAUGUUUGCAUACAAGCACGCGUACAAACUUAUACAUAACGCUAACGAAAGUAUAUCCAUAACAUGAACUCAUACAAAUAUAUAUAUUGAAAUUAACGAACGAUUGCCUCUUUGAGCUUAAAUAAUUAUAUAAACAUACAUACAAAUAAAUAUAUGUAUGCAUAUAUAUAUAAUCAAAGUUUAGCAUAAUUUCUCAUCUAAGGUAAAUCUCUAAGGCAAAGCUCUCUAAAACUCUAAACGAAAACUGCUCAACUAUUCAAAUAUUCACACAAAAGUUUUUAUUAGACUAAGUUUACAUUUAUAGACGCAUUCUUGUAGGAACUUACAAACGCAUAUAUUUAUAAGAGCCUAACUUUACAAAUAUAUAGUCAAAUGAACGGAAGAAAUCGUAUAAUACGUACUCGUAAUCUAAUAAAGCGACUUUUUCGCAACGAACUUUUUUAUUCUAAACGCAACUCGCAAAACUACCCACUGUGGCCUUUCAUUGUGUCUAAACAUUUCUAAAUAUAGUCAAUCCACAACUCUCGUGCACUUUGCACAUUUUUUUGCAACUAAGAACUAGGCGAAAAUAUUUCUACUUAAUAAGACUUAGACAAUUGUCGGAAUUUUUGGAAGUGAAGAAAUAUACAAGACAAAUCCUUAAACAAUAAAAGCCUAGUUAUAAAAACAGCAUCGAAACAAAAGACUCAAGCGCCGAACUUCAGCACAACGCCUCAAGUAAGCUACAUUCUUCGACUUUAUACCUCGCCGAGUCAGCCCGAGUGUUAGAGAUAUAUGUGUGUAUGUGUACAUCAGUGGAGCAAAAACGCGUGUAAUCCAUUUCAUUUGUGAUUAUAAAAAGUAUGACAUUUACAAAAUGAAAAACAAAAAACAGAAAAGAAACUCGUUCUCGCUCCCUCACCCAAUCCCAAGUACAAAUACAAAAAAACUUAUCGUUCCAACUUCACUAAAGCCUAUGGACCCCUUUAAUGCCGUGGAAUAGUGAGCAACACAAUGCGAAAACCAAUUGCUUGAAGAUUUCAUCGUCAAGGUGCACAUUGUACUAUACGCUCAGCAGCUACUUCGCCAACAAGUUCUACCUCAGCACCACCCUCACCGCCCA
This 3779-nucleotide unclassified non-coding RNA is filed under the name Ceratitis capitata (Mediterranean fruit fly). Its description in RNAcentral is "broad-complex core protein isoforms 1/2/3/4/5, transcript variant X3". The record is from RNAcentral. Lineage: Eukaryota; Metazoa; Arthropoda; Insecta; Diptera; Tephritidae.